Molecule: long non-coding RNA, 3698 nt
Filed under: Homo sapiens (human)
Lineage: Eukaryota; Metazoa; Chordata; Mammalia; Primates; Hominidae
Description: HSALNT0396685
Source: RNAcentral
GGAAAGUUUGAAAUUGACUUUCUGUUCCACAGAAGGGUGAGUGACUGUAAGAUCAAGAUUCAGCACACGUGUGAGAAUGUGACUCCACUACAGAAAUACAGUUCACAAGAGGGAUUGAGGCUCUCACACAGAUUCAGUCCAGUGUUGAGAUUGUGACUGAUGUACUUAGACACAACACAAAGGGCAUGUUGGCUCUGUUACCUAGAACUGGGACAUGUGCUGGAUUCUUAAUUUAAUCUCUGGACCUUCCUGCAGGAGUGACAGUGACAUGUGUCUCUUUCCAGCACCUGAGUGAUUUGACUCUUUUGCUUGGGGCCUGCCCAAAUAUGAGUUUGUGACAUAUCACUAAAGGUAGCACCUAGGUGAUGUGACUCAUUCUCUUUACUUGGUGCUGGCCAUAAGAGACAUUUUGACAUAUCAUGGGCCUUGCAACCUGGUGGUACGAAUCUUCUCUUCUGUCUUUGUUUUUUUUUUAAGGCGGCAUUGUGACAUAUUGCUGCCCUGCAAAAGGGUUGUGUGACGCUCCUGCCUGUGCCCUGUCCACAUAGACCAUUGUAACAUAUUGUUGGGUCUAACACUUUGGUGAUGUAACUCUCCUGCCUGGUCCCUGCCUACAGAGGACAUUGUGACAUAUUUCUCUGCCCAUCACCCGGUUGAUGUGACUCACUUCUCCUGCCUGGUCUCUGCUCACAGAGGAGAUUGUGACAUAUACCUGGGCCCAGGACCUAGCUAAUUUGUCUUUUGUCUUUUUACAGCUUUCUGCCAACAAGAAAGAUAGUGAUAUAUAAUGGGGUUUAAUUCCAAGGUAUUAAUAAUAUUGCUAUUUUCCCUUGGCCCUGCUCUCAGAUGGAAUUGGGACAUAUUGAUAGGCCCCAGAAGCAAGGCGAUGUGAGUCUCCUGCCUGGAGCCUGUCCACAGAGGGCAUUGCUGCGUAUCUCUGAGCUCAUCAACUAUUUGAUAUGACUCUCCUUUUACUUGAGUUUUUUUAAAUAAAAGAGAUUUUGACAUAUCUGUGGGCCCAGCACCUAGGUGAUGGAACUGUCUUCUGCCUGAGUCACUCCCACAGAUGAGACAGUGACUUAUUUCUUGGACCAGCACACUAGUGAUGUAAUUUUCCUGCCUGAUUUCUGCACACAGAUUUCACUGUGACAUAUCUCUGGCCCCAUCACCUAUAUGAUUUGACAGUCUUCUUUGUUCUGGGACCUCUCCACAGUAGGCAUUGUGAUAUAUCACUUGGCCUAGCAGAGAGCAUUGUGACAUACCCGCGAGCCAAGCACACAGAUGAUGUUAUUCUGCUGCCUGUGCCCUGCUUUCAGGAGUGGAUUGCAAUGUAACACUGGCUGAGUACCCAGGUUAAUGACACUGUUGCCUGGUCCCUGUUCUCAGGGAAGACUGUAAUAGACCCCUGACCCAAUAUCCAGGGGACAUUGUGACAUACUUCUUGGCCAUGAACCCAGGUUAUGUGAGCCUUUCUGUGCCCUGCCCAUGUGGACAAUUGUGACAUAUUACCGAGUCCUACACCCAGGCGAUGCUACUCUCCUGUCUGGUCCUUGCCUACAGGGAACAUUGUGACAUAUCUCUUUGCCAUUCAUCCAGGUUCUGCCCACAGGGAAGAUUGUGGUGAAUUACUGAACGCGAUACCUAGAUGAAGGAGAGACUAUAACAUACCUCUUGGCCCAGCACCUAGUUGAUGUAACUCUGCUCUCCUGCCUGGGCCACACCUACAGAAGAAAGAGUGACUUCUCACUGGGCCAGCACACAGGUCAUGUUAUUUUACUGCCUUGAUCCUUGUCCACAAUAAUCAUUGUACAUAGUUUUGGGCUCUUCUACUAGAAGACGUGCGGGAUGGUUAAAUAUCACUGGACCUAGCACCUAGGGAAUGUGACUCUUGUCUUUUGCAUCAGCCCCACUCGUUUUGAGAACUGUAACAUAUCACUGGGCCAAACACCUAGAAGAUGGGAAGUGUCUGCCUAUGCCCUGCAAACAGGGCUUUAGCCCUACCACUCUCAAGAGCCUCGUGACAUAUCUCUGCAUUCAUCAUCUAGGAGAUGUGACUCCUCCCUGCUGCCUGCGCUCUGCCUACAGGGAAGACCAUAACAACAUUUGGCCCAGCAACACGGUGAUGUGUUUUUUCCCAGGGCCUUGCUCACAGGGAGCAUUGUGACAUAUCACUGGAACCAGCAUCCAGGGCUGUGACUCUGUGUCCUGCUGUUAGAACAGGAUUGUAACAUAUCACUGACCAAGCACCCAGGUGAUGUGACUCUUCUGCCUGGUGCCUGCCUUCAGGGAAAAUUGUGACAUAUGCCUGGCCUAGCACCAAAGUGAUGUGGCUCUCCUGCUACCUCUAUGCACAGGUGGGAUUGUGACAUAUACCUUCAUUCAGCUCAUAGAUGGGUUGGUGAUGCUCAGACAAAUAUUCAGCACACCUGUGAGUCUGCGACUCCAGUAAUCAUCCACAGUCUGCAGGAGAAAUUGAGGCUCUCACCAACAAAUCAAGUGCACAAUUGAGAUUGCGACUCUUGUACUCAGACCCAACAUACAGAAUGUGUUGACUCUCAAUUUUAAAACCAGAACAUGUGUGAGAUUAUUAAUCUGAUCUCUAAACCAUCCUGCAAGUGUGAUUGUGACACAAGUCUCUGUUCAGUACUUGAGUGAUUUGACUCCUUUGCCUGGGCCCAGUCCAAAGAUGUAAUUGUGACAUAUCACUGAAACCAGCAUAUAGGAGAUGUGUCUCCAUACUCCUGCCUUGGUGCUGCCCACAGUGGGCACUGUGACAUAUCACUGGGCCUUGUAUCCAAGUGAUGUAAGUCUCUUCUUUCUUGAUACUGACCACAGGAGACACUAUGACAUAUCCCUGGGCCUCAAGCUCAGCUUAUGUCAUUCUCCUAUUUGUUCUCUGUCCACAUGGGCCAUUGUGACAUACUGCUGAGUUUGGCAUCCAUGUGAUAUAACACUUCAGCCUCAGCUUUGCUCACUUGGGGCAUUGUGAUGUAUCUCUGCACCCAUCACUUAGAUGAUUCAACUCUUUUCUUCUGUCUCAUCUGUGCUUAAAACGGGCAAUUGUUACCUAUUGCUGGGUCCAGCAUGUAGCUGAUGUGUCUCUUCUCAUCUUCCUAAGGACUGCCUGCAGGGGAUAUGGUGACAUUUUACUUUGCCCAGCACCAAGAUGACUUGAAUCUGCUGCCUUUGUUCUACUUUCAGAAGACAUUGUGACAUAUCGCUGGGCCUAGCACCAAGGUGAUGUGAAUCUUCUGCCUGGACCUGCUCACAGAGGGAAUUGUUACAUAUUUUUGACUUCAUCAACUAUUUGAUGUGACUCUCCUCUCUAACCUGGGCCUUGCCCAUAAAAAACAUUGUGGCUUAUCUCUGGGCCCAAAACCUAGGUGAUGUGACUGUCUUCUUAGGGUCAUGCCCACAGUAGAGAGAUGCCUUAUUGCUAAACCCAGCACACAGGUGAGGUGAUUCUUCUGUCUGGUCCCUGCCCACAGGGGUCAUGAUGACAUCUCUCUAAGCCCAUCACCUAGAUUAUGUGAGUUCUCUUUUUCUUCUGUUAGCUAUAUAGAAGAUUGUGACAUAUUGCUUGGCCCAGACCUCAUGUGAUGUGAAUCUCCUCUCAUGCCUUGGUCCUGUUUUUUUUUGGCCGUUGUUGUUUUGUUUUGUUUUUUGAGAUGGAGUCUUGCUCUGUUGCCUAAGCUGGA